AAUUUUUAUACAAUAUUGACAUGAGUAUUGUCCAUGAGUAAUGAUAUCUCUUGGCCACCGACUAUAGCUCAACGAACAUUGCAAGCAGGAUUGCUGGCUGACGUCGUGACAAGUUUGGCCAUUGACAACGUGACAUGCUACUACGUUAUGAUGAUAUAAAGAUGAAUUGGUACCUAGUACGGCAUGAAUAAUCUGCCAAGGAUAAGUGAGACUAUGAGAGAGUGUCUUAAAUUUUGAUUUGUGGAUUGUGGAUUGUGGUUUGUGGGAUUGUGGGCAGUGAUUAAGUCUAAACUACAUUAAAGUUUUAGAAAAAUAUUUUUAUA
This 323-nucleotide long non-coding RNA is filed under the name Citrus x clementina. RNAcentral's name for it is "Citrus clementina (C. clementina) long non-coding RNA (CCLE_LNC001144)". The record is from RNAcentral. Lineage: Eukaryota; Viridiplantae; Streptophyta; Magnoliopsida; Sapindales; Rutaceae.